This 465-nucleotide ribosomal RNA is filed under the name Vreelandella stevensii. Its description in RNAcentral is "partial 16S ribosomal RNA". It matches the Rfam family "Bacterial small subunit ribosomal RNA", at positions 338 to 795 of the family's 1533-position model. The record is from RNAcentral. Lineage: Bacteria; Pseudomonadati; Pseudomonadota; Gammaproteobacteria; Oceanospirillales; Halomonadaceae.
CCUACGGGUGGCAGCAGUGGGGAAUAUUGGACAAUGGGGGCAACCCUGAUCCAGCCAUGCCGCGUGUGUGAAGAAGGCCCUCGGGUUGUAAAGCACUUUCAGUGAGGAAGAACGCCUGGUGGUUAAUACCCAUCAGGAAAGACAUCACUCACAGAAGAAGCACCGGCUAACUCCGUGCCAGCAGCCGCGGUAAUACGGAGGGUGCGAGCGUUAAUCGGAAUUACUGGGCGUAAAGCGCGCGUAGGUGGCUUGAUAAGCCGGUUGUGAAAGCCCCGGGCUCAACCUGGGAACGGCAUCCGGAACUGUCAAGCUAGAGUGAAGGAGAGGAAGGUAGAAUUCCCGGGGCAGCGGUGAAAUGCGUAGAGAUCGGGAGGAAUGCCGGUGGCGAAGGCGGCUUUCUGGACUGAAACUGACACUGAGGUGCGAAAGCGUGGGGAGCAAACAGGAUUAGAUAUCCCGGUAGUC